This 372-nucleotide ribosomal RNA is filed under the name uncultured organism. RNAcentral describes it as "bacterial SSU rRNA". It matches the Rfam family "Bacterial small subunit ribosomal RNA", at positions 526 to 896 of the family's 1533-position model. The record is from RNAcentral.
CAGAGGGUGCAAGCGUUAAUCGGAGUGACUGGGCGUAAAGGGCGUGUAGGUGGAUGGAUAAGUUAUGUGUGAAAUAUCUGGGCUUAACCUGGAGGGGUCAUGUAAUACUGUCUGUCUGGAGUAGAGCAGAGGGAAGUAGAAUUUCCGGUGUAGCGGUGAAAUGCGUAGAGAUCGGAAGGAAUACCAGUGGCGAAGGCGGCUUCCUGGGCUCAUACUGACACUGAGGCGCGAAAGCGUGGGUAGCGAACAGGAUUAGAUACCCUGGUAGUCCACGCCGUAAACGAUGAGAACUAGACGCUUGUUUGUUUAAUCAAGUGAGUGUCGAAGCAAACGCAUUAAGUUCUCCGCCUGGGGAAUACGGUCGCAAGAUUA